Long non-coding RNA from Acanthochromis polyacanthus (spiny chromis), 26595 nucleotides. RefSeq lists it as uncharacterized. The record is from RefSeq and is a predicted model, not a curated record. The transcript is spliced from 12 exons. NCBI's taxonomy places the organism in Eukaryota, Metazoa, Chordata, Actinopteri, Pomacentridae.
GCUCAGUGGGUGAGUGUGAUAGGGAGUAUAGGAGUGAGUGAGAAAGGCCAAGGAGUAUAGCUCAGUGGGUAGAGUGACUGGCUGGCACCCGGGAGGCUGGGGAUCGAUUCCAGGUGUGAGUGAGAUUGGCAUAGGGAGGAUAGCAGUGAGUGAGAAAGGGAGUAUCGCUCAGUGGGUGAGUGAGAUAGGGAGUAUAGCUCAGUGGCUGAGUGUGAUAGGGAGUAUAGGAGUGAGUGAGAAAGGCCAAGGAGUAUAGCUCAGUGGAAAGAGUGACUGGCUGGCACCCGGGAGGCUGUGGAUCGAUUCCAGGUGUGAGUGAGUGAGAUUGGCAUAGGGAGGAUAGCAGUGAGUGAGAUAGGGAGUAUAGCUCAGUGGGUGAGUGAGAUAGGGAGUAUAGCUCAGUGGGUGAGUGUGAUAGGGAGUAUAGGAGUCAGUGAGAAAGGCCAAGGAGUAUAGCUCAGUGGGUAGAGUGACUGGCUGGCACCCGGGAGGCUGGGGAUCGAUUCCAGGUGUGAGUGAGUGAGAUUGGCAUAGGGAGGAUAGCAGUGAGUGAGAUAGGGAGUAUAGCUCAGUGGGUGAGUGAGAUAGGGAGUAUAGGAAUGACUGAGAAAAGCCAAGAAGUACAGCUCAGUGGGUAGAGUGACUGGCUGGCACCCGGGAGGCUGGGGAUCGAUUCCUGGUGUGAGUGAGUGAGUUUGGCAAAGGGAGGAUAGCAGUGAGUGAGAUAGGGAGUAUAGCUCAGUGGGUGAGUGAGAUAGGGAGUAUAGCUCAGUGGGUGAGUGUGAUAGGGAGUAUAGGAGUGAGUGAGAAAGGCCAAGGAGUAUAGCUCAAUGCGUAGAGUGACUGGCUGGCACCCGGGAGGCUGGGGAUCGAUUCCAGGUGUGAGUGAGUGAGAUUGGCAUUGGGAGGAUAGCUCAGUGGGUGAGUGUGAUAGGGAGUAUAGCUUAGUGGGUGAGUGAGAUAGGGAGUAUAGCUCAGUGGGUGAGUGUGAUAGGGAGUAUAUGAGUGAGUGAGAAAGGCCAAGGAGUAUAGCUCAGUGGGUAGAGUGACUGGCUGGCACCCGGGAGGCUGGGGAUCGAUUCCAGGUGUGAGUGAGUGAGAUUGGCAUAGGGAGGAUAGCAGUGAGUGAGAUAGGGAGUAUAGGAAUGACUGAGAAAGGCCAAGAAGUAUCGCUCAGUGGGUAGAGUGACUGGCUGGCACCCGGGAGGCUGGGGAUCGAUUCCAGGUGUGAGUGAGUGAGAUUGGCAUAGGGAGGAUAGCAGUGAGUGAGAUAGGGAGUAUAGCUCAGUGGGUGAGUGAGAUAGGGAGUAUAGCUCAGUGGGUGAGUGUGAUAGGGAGUAUAGGAGUGAGUGAGAAAAGCCAAGGAGUAUAGCUCAAUGCGUAGAGUGACUGGCUGGCACCCGGGAGGCUGGGGAUCGAUUCCAGGUGUGAGUGAGUGAGAUUGGCAUUGGGAGGAUAGCUCAGUGGGUGAGUGUGAUAGGGAGUAUAGCUUAGUGGGUGAGUGAGAUAGGGAGUAUCGCUCAGUGGGAAGAGUGACUGGCUGGUACCCGGGAGGCUGGGGAUCGAUUCCAGGUGUGAGUGAGUGAGAUUGGCAUUGGGAGGAUAGCUCAGUGGGUGAGUGUGAUAGGGAGUAUAGCUUAGUGGGUGAGUGAGAUAGGGAGUAUCGCUCAGUGGGAAGAGUGACUGGCUGGUACCCGGGAGGCUGGGGAUCGAUUCCAGGUGUGAGUGAGUGAGAUUGGCAUAGGGAGUAUAGCUCAGUGGGUGAGUGAGAUAGGGAGUAUAGGAGUGAGUGAGAAAGGCCAAGGAGUAUAGCUCAAUGCGUAGAGUGACUGGCUGGCACCCGGGAGGCUGGGGAUCGAUUCCAGGUGUGAGUGAGUGAGAUUGGCAUAGGGAGGAUAGCUCAGUCGGUGAGUGAGAAAGGGAGUAUAGCUCAGUGGGUGAGUGUGAUAGGGAGUAUAUGAGUGAGUGAGAAAGGCCAAGGAGUAUAGCUCAGUGGGUAGAGUGACUGGCUGGCACCCGGGAGGCUGGGGAUCGAUUCCAGGUGUGAGUGAGUGAGAUUGGCAUAGGGAGGAUAGCAGUGAGUGAGAUAGGGAGUAUGGAUCAGUGGGUGAGUGAGAUAGGGAGUAUAGCUCAGUGGGUGAGUGUGAUAGGGAGUAUAUGGGUGAGUGAGAAAGGCCAAGGAGUAUAUCUCAGUGGGUAGAGUGACGGCCUGGCACCCGGGAGGCUGGGGAUUGAUUCCAGGUGUGAGUGAAAUUGGCAUAGGGAGGAUAGCAGUGAGUGAGAUAGGGAGUACAGCUCAGUGGGUGAGUGAGAUAGGGAGUAUAGCUCAGUGGGUGAGUGUGAUAGGGAGUAUAGGAGUCAGUGAGAAAGGCCAAGGAGUAUAGCUCAGUGGGUAGAGUGACUGGCUGGCACCCGGGAGGCUGGGGAUCGAUUCCAGGUGUGAGUGAGUGAGAUUGGCAUAGGGAGGAUAGCAGUGAGUGAGAUAGGGAGUAUAGCUCAGUGGGUGAGUGAGAUAGGGAGUAUAGGAAUGAGUGAGAAAGGCCAAGAAGUAUAGCUCAGUGGGUAGAGUGACUGGCUGGCACCCGGGAGGCUCGGGAUCGAUUCCAGGUGUGAGUGAGUGAGAUUGGCAUAGGGAGGAUAGCUCAGUGGGUGAGUCAGAUAGGGAGUAUUGCUCAGUGGGUGAGUGUGAUAGGGAGUAUAGGAGUGAGUGAGAAAGGCCAAGGAGUAUAGCUCAGUGGGUAGAGUGACUGGCUGGCACCCGGGAGGGCUGGGGAUCGAUUCCAGGUGUGAGUGAGUGAGAUUGGCAUCGGGAGGAUAGCAGUGAGUGAGAUAGGGAGUAUAGCUCAGUGGGUGAGUGAGAUAGGGAGGAUAGCUCAGUGGGUGAGUGAGAUAGGGAGUAUUCGAGUGAGUGAGAAAGGCCAAGGAGUAUAGCUCAGUGGGUAGAGUGACUGGCUGGCACCCGGGAGGCUGGGGAUCGAUUCCAGGUGUGAGUGAGAUUGGCAUCGGGAGGAUUGCAGUGAGUGAGAUAGGGAGAACAGCUCAGUGGGUGAGUGUGAUAGGGAGUAUAGGAGUGAGUGAGAAACGCCAAGGAGUAUAGCUCAGUGGGUGAGUGAGAUAGGGAGUAUAGCUCAGUGGGUGAGUGUGAUAGGGAUUACAGGAGUGAGUGAGAAAGGCCAAGGAGUAUAGCUCAGUGGGUAGAGUGACUGGCUGGCACCCGGGAGGCUGGGGAUCGAUUCCAGGUGUGAGUGAGUGAGAUUGGCAUAGGGAGGAUAGCAGUGAGUGAGAAGGGGAGUAUCGCUCAGUGGGUGAGUGAGAUAGGGAGGCUGGGGAUCGAUUCCAAGUGUGAGUGAGUGAGAUUGGCAAAGGGAGGAUAGCAGUGAGUGAGAUAGGGAGUAUCGCUCAGUGGGUGAGUGAGAUAGGGAGUAUAGCUCAGUGGGUGAGUGUGAAAGGGAGUAUCCGAGUGAGUGAGAAAGGCCAAGGAGUAUAGCUCAGUGGGUAGAGUGACUGGCUGGCACCCGGGAGGCUGGGGAUCGAUUCCAGGUGUGAGUGAGAUUGGCAUCGGGAGGAUUGCAGUGAGUGAGAUAGGGAGUAUAGCUCAGUGGGUGAGUGUGAUAGGGAUUACAGGAGUGAGUGAGAAAGGCCAAGGAGUAUAGCUCAGUGGGUAGAGUGACUGGCUGGCACCCGGGAGGCUGGGGAUCGAUUCCAGGUGUGAGUGAGUGAGAUUGGCAUAGGGAGGAUAGCAGUGAGUGAGAUAGGGAGUAUAGCUCAGUGGGUUGAGUGACUGGCUGGCACCUGGGAGGCUGGGGAUCGAUUCCAGGUGUGAGUGAGUGAGAUUGGCAUAGGGAGGAUAGCAGUGAGUGAGAUAGGGAGUAUAGCUCAGUGGGUGAGUGAGAUAGGGAGUAUUCGAGUGAGUGAGAAAGGCCAAGGAGUAUAGCUCAGUGGGUAGAGUGACUGGCUGGCACCCGGGACGCUGGGGAUCGAUUCCAGGUGUGAGUGAGAUUGGCAUCGGGAGGAUUGCAGUGAGUGAGAUAGGGAGAACAGCUCAGUGGGUGAGUGUGAUAGGGAGUAUAGGAGUGAGUGAGUGAGAAACGCCAAGGAGUAUCGCUCAGUGGGUGAGUGAGAUAGGGAGUAUAGCUCAGUGGGUGAGUGAGAUAGGGGGUAUAGGAGUGAGUGAGAAAGGCCAAGGAGAAUAGCUCAGUGGGAAGAGUGACUGGCUGGCACCCGGGAGGCUGGAGAUCGAUUCCAGGUGUGAGUGAGUGAGAUUGGCAUAGGGAGGAUAGCUCAGUGGGUGAGUGAGAAAGGCCAAGGAGUAUAGCUCAGUGGGUAGAGUGACUGGCUGGCACCCGGGAGGCUGGGGAUCGAUUCCAGGUGUGAGUGAGUGAGAUUGGCAUAGGGAGGAUAGCUCAGUGGGUGAGUCAGAUAGGGAGUAUUGCUCAGUGGGUGAGUGUGAUAGGGAGUAUAGGAGUGAGUGAGAAAGGCCAAGGAGUAUAGCUCAGUGGGUAGAGUGACUGGCUGGCACCCGGGAGGGCUGGGGAUCGAUUCCAGGUGUGAGUGAGUGAGAUUGGCAUCGGGAGGAUAGCAGUGAGUGAGAUAGGGAGUAUAGCUCAGUGGGUGAGUGAGAUAGGGAGGAUAGCUCAGUGGGUGAGUGAGAUAGGGAGUAUUCGAGUGAGUGAGAAAGGCCAAGGAGUAUAGCUCAGUGGGUAGAGUGACUGGCUGGCACCCGGGAGGCUGGGGAUCGAUUCCAGGUGUGAGUGAGAUUGGCAUCGGGAGGAUUGCAGUGAGUGAGAUAGGGAGAACAGCUCAGUGGGUGAGUGUGAUAGGGAGUAUAGGAGUGAGUGAGAAACGCCAAGGAGUAUAGCUCAGUGGGUGAGUGAGAUAGGGAGUAUAGCUCAGUGGGUGAGUGUGAUAGGGAUUACAGGAGUGAGUGAGAAAGGCCAAGGAGUAUAGCUCAGUGGGUAGAGUGACUGGCUGGCACCCGGGAGGCUGGGGAUCGAUUCCAGGUGUGAGUGAGUGAGAUUGGCAUAGGGAGGAUAGCAGUGAGUGAGAAGGGGAGUAUCGCUCAGUGGGUGAGUGAGAUAGGGAGUAUAGCUCAGUGGGUGAGUGAGAUAGAGAGUAUAGGAGUGAGUGAGAAAGGCCAAGGUGUAUAGCUCAGUGGGACGAGUGACUGGCUGGCACCCGGGAGGCUCGGGAUCGAUUCCAGGUGUGAGUGAGAGAGAUUGGCAUAGGGAGGAUAGCAGUGAGUGAGAUAGAGAGUAUCGCUCAGUGGGUGAGUGAGAUAGGCCAAGGAGUAGAGCUCAGUGGGUUGAGUGACUGACUGGCACCCGGGAGGCUGGGGAUCGAUUCCAGGUGUGAGUGAGAUUGGCAUCGGGAGUAUAGCUCAGUGGGUGAGUGAGAAAGGGAGUAUAGCUCAGUGGGUGAGUGAGAUAGGGAGUAUACGAGUGAGUGAGAAACGCCAAGGAGUAUAGCUCAGUGGGUGAGUGAGAUAGGGAGUAUAGCUCAGUGGGUGAGUGUGAUAGGGAUUACAGGAGUGAGUGAGAAAGGCCAAGGAGUAUAGCUCAGUGGGUAGAGUGACUGGCUGGCACCCGGGAGGCUGGGGAUCGAUUCCAGGUGUGAGUGAGAUUGGCAUCGGGAGGAUUGCAGUGAGUGAGAUAGGGAGUAUAGCUCAGUGGGUGAGUGUGAUAGGGAUUACAGGAGUGAGUGAGAAAGGCCAAGGAGUAUAGCUCAGUGGGUAGAGUGACUGGCUGGCACCCGGGAGGCUGGGGAUCGAUUCCAGGUGUGAGUGAGUGAGAUUGGCAUAGGGAGGAUAGCAGUGAGUGAGAUAGGGAGUAUAGCUCAGUGGGUUGAGUGACUGGCUGGCACCUGGGAGGCUGGGGAUCGAUUCCAGGUGUGAGUGAGUGAGAUUGGCAUAGGGAGGAUAGCAGUGAGUGAGAUAGGGAGUAUAGCUCAGUGGGUGAGUGAGAUAGGGAGUAUUCGAGUGAGUGAGAAAGGCCAAGGAGUAUAGCUCAGUGGGUAGAGUGACUGGCUGGCACCCGGGACGCUGGGGAUCGAUUCCAGGUGUGAGUGAGAUUGGCAUCGGGAGGAUUGCAGUGAGUGAGAUAGGGAGAACAGCUCAGUGGGUGAGUGUGAUAGGGAGUAUAGGAGUGAGUGAGAAACGCCAAGGAGUAUCGCUCAGUGGGUGAGUGAGAUAGGGAGUAUAGCUCAGUGGGUGAGUGAGAUAGGGGGUAUAGGAGUGAGUGAGAAAGGCCAAGGAGAAUAGCUCAGUGGGAAGAGUGACUGGCUGGCACCCGGGAGGCUGGAGAUCGAUUCCAGGUGUGAGUGAGUGAGAUUGGCAUAGGGAGGAUAGCUCAGUGGGUGAGUGAGAAAGGCCAAGGAGUAUAGCUCAGUGGGUAGAGUGACUGGCUGGCACCCGGGAGGCUGGGGAUUGAUUCCAGGUGUGAGUGAGUGAAAUUGGCAUAGGGAGGAUAGCAGUGAGUGAGAUAGGGAGUAUAGCUCAGUGGGUGAGUGUGAUAGGGAGUAUAGGAGUGAGUGAGAAAGGCCAAGGAGUAUAGCUCAGUGGGUAGAGUGACUGGCUGGCACGCGGGAGGCUGGGGAUCGAUUCCAGGUGUGAGUGAGAUUGGCAUAGGGAGGAUAGCAGUGAGUGAGAUAGGGAGUAUAGCUCAGUGGGUGAGUGAGAUAGGGAGUAUAGCUCAGUGGGUGAGUGUGAUAGGGAGUAUAGGAGUGAGUGAGAAAAGCCAAGGAGUAUAGCUCAAUGCGUAGAGUGACUGGCUGGCACCCGGGAGGCUGGGGAUCGAUUCCAGGUGUGAGUGAGUGAGAUUGGCAUUGGGAGGAUAGCUCAGUGGGUGAGUGUGAUAGGGAGUAUAGCUUAGUGGGUGAGUGAGAUAGGGAGUAUCGCUCAGUGGGAAGAGUGACUGGCUGGUACCCGGGAGGCUGGGGAUCGAUUCCAGGUGUGAGUGAGUGAGAUUGGCAUUGGGAGGAUAGCUCAGUGGGUGAGUGUGAUAGGGAGUAUAGCUUAGUGGGUGAGUGAGAUAGGGAGUAUCGCUCAGUGGGAAGAGUGACUGGCUGGUACCCGGGAGGCUGGGGAUCGAUUCCAGGUGUGAGUGAGUGAGAUUGGCAUAGGGAGUAUAGCUCAGUGGGUGAGUGAGAUAGGGAGUAUAGGAGUGAGUGAGAAAGGCCAAGGAGUAUAGCUCAAUGCGUAGAGUGACUGGCUGGCACCCGGGAGGCUGGGGAUCGAUUCCAGGUGUGAGUGAGUGAGAUUGGCAUAGGGAGGAUAGCUCAGUCGGUGAGUGAGAAAGGGAGUAUAGCUCAGUGGGUGAGUGUGAUAGGGAGUAUAUGAGUGAGUGAGAAAGGCCAAGGAGUAUAGCUCAGUGGGUAGAGUGACUGGCUGGCACCCGGGAGGCUGGGGAUCGAUUCCAGGUGUGAGUGAGUGAGAUUGGCAUAGGGAGGAUAGCAGUGAGUGAGACAGGGAGUAUGGAUCAGUGGGUGAGUGAGAUAGGGAGUAUAGCUCAGUGGGUGAGUGUGAUAGGGAGUAUAUGGGUGAGUGAGAAAGGCCAAGGAGUAUAUCUCAGUGGGUAGAGUGACGGCCUGGCACCCGGGAGGCUGGGGAUUGAUUCCAGGUGUGAGUGAAAUUGGCAUAGGGAGGAUAGCAGUGAGUGAGAUUGGGAGUAUCGCUCAGUGGGUGAGUGAGAUAGGGAGUAUAGCUCAGUGGGUGAGUGAGAUAGGGAGUAUAGCUCAGUGGGUGAGUGUGAUAGGGAGUAUAGGAGUCAGUGAGAAAGGCCAAGGAGUAUAGCUCAGUGGGUAGAGUGACUGGCUGGCACCCGGGAGGCUGGGGAUCGAUUCCAGGUGUGAGUGAGUGAGAUUGGCAUAGGGAGGAUAGCAGUGAGUGAGAUAGGGAGUAUAGCUCAGUGGGUGAGUGAGAUAGGGAGUAUAGGAAUGAGUGAGAAAGGCCAAGAAGUAUAGCUCAGUGGGUAGAGUGACUGGCUGGCACCCGGGAGGCUCGGGAUCGAUUCCAGGUGUGAGUGAGUGAGAUUGGCAUAGGGAGGAUAGCUCAGUGGGUGAGUGUGAUAGGGAGUAUAUGAGUGAGUGAGAAAGGCCAAGGAGUAUAUCUCAGUGGGUAGAGUGACGGGCUGGCACCCGGGAGGCUGGGGAUCGAUUCCAGGUGUGAGUGAGUGAGAUUGGCAUAGGGAGGAUAGCAGUGAGUGAGAUUGGGAGUAUCGCUCAGUGGGUGAGUGAGAAAGGGAGUAUAGGACUGAGUGAGAAAGGCGAAGGAGUAUAGCUCGGUGGGUAGAGUGACUGGCUGGCACCCGGGAGGCUGGGGAUCGAUUCCAGGUGUGAGUGAGUGAGAUUGGCAUAGGGAGGAUAGCAGUGAGUGAGAUAGGGAGUAUAGCUCAUUGGGUGAGUGAGAUAGGGAGUAUUGCUCAGUGGGUGAGUGUGAUAGGGAGUAUAGGAGUCAGUGAGAAAGGCCAAGGAGUAUAGCUCAGUGGGUAGAGUGACUGGCUGGCACCCGGGAGGCUGGGGAUCGAUUCCAGGUGUGAGUGAGUGAGAUUGGCAUAGGGAGGAUAGCGGUGAGUGAGAUAGGGAGUAUAGCUCAGUGGGUUGAGUGACUGGCUGGCACCUGGGAGGCUGGGGAUCGAUUCCAGGUGUGAGUGAGUGAGAUUGGCAUAGGGAGGAUAGCAGUGAGUGAGAUAGGGAGUAUAGCUCAGUGGGUGAGUGAGAUAGGGAGUAUUCGAGUGAGUGAGAAAGGCCAAGGAGUAUAGCUCAGUGGGUAGAGUGACUGGCUGGCACCUGGGAGGCUGGGGAUCGAUUCCAGGUGUGAGUGAGUGAGAUUGGCAUAGGGAGGAUAGCAGUGAGUGAGAUAGGGAGUAUAGCUCAGUGGGUGAGUGUGAUAGGGAGUAUAGGAGUGAGUGAGAAAGGCCAAGGAGUAUAGCUCAGUGGGUAGAGUGACUGGCUGGCACCUGGGAGGCUGGGGAUCGAUUCCAGGUGUGAGUGAGUGAGAUUGGCAUAGGGAGGAUAGCAGUGAGUGAGAUAGGGAGUAUAGCUCAGUGGGUGAGUGUGAUAGGGAGUAUAGGAGUGAGUGAGAAAGGCCAAGGAGUAUAGCUCAGUGGGUAGAGUGACUGGCUGGCACCUGGGAGGCUGGGGAUCGAUUCCAGGUGUGAGUGAGUGAGAUUGGCAUAGGGAGGAUAGCAGUGAGUGAGAUAGGGAGUAUAGCUCAGUGGGUGAGUGUGAUAGGGAGUAUAGGAGUGAGUGAGAAAGGCCAAGGAGUAUAGCUCAGUGGGUAGAGUGACUGGCUGGCACCCGGGAGGCUGGGGAUCGAUUCCAAGUGUGAGUGAGUGAGAUUGGCAUAGGGAGGAUAGCUCAGUGGGUGAGUGAGAAAGGCCAAGGAGUAUAGCUCAGUGGGUAGAGUGACUGGCUGGCACCCGGGAGGCUGGGGAUUGAUUCCAGGUGUGAGUGAGUAAGAUUGGCGUAGGGAGGAUAGCAGUGAGUGAGAUAGGGAGUAUAGCUCAGUGGGUGAGUGAGAUAGGGAGUAUAGCUCAGUGGGUGAGUGUGAUAGGGAGUAUAUGAGUGAGUGAGAAAGGCCAAGGAGUAUAUCUCAGUGGGUAGAGUGACUGGCUGGCACCCGGGAGGCUGGGGAUCGAUUCCAGGUGUGAGUGAGUGAGAUUGGCAUAGGGAGGAUAGCUCAGUGGGUGAGUCAGAUAGGGAGUAUUGCUCAGUGGGUGAGUGUGAUAGGGAGUAUAGGAGUGAGUGAGAAAGGCCAAGGAGUAUAGCUCAGUGGGUAGAGUGACUGGCUGGCACCCGGGAGGGCUGGGGAUCGAUUCCAGGUGUGAGUGAGUGAGAUUGGCAUCGGGAGGAUAGCAGUGAGUGAGAUAGGGAGUAUAGCUCAGUGGGUGAGUGAGAUAGGGAGGAUAGCUCAGUGGGUGAGUGAGAUAGGGAGUAUUCGAGUGAGUGAGAAAGGCCAAGGAGUAUAGCUCAGUGGGUAGAGUGACUGGCUGGCACCCGGGAGGCUGGGGAUCGAUUCCAGGUGUGAGUGAGAUUGGCAUCGGGAGGAUUGCAGUGAGUGAGAUAGGGAGAACAGCUCAGUGGGUGAGUGUGAUAGGGAGUAUAGGAGUGAGUGAGAAACGCCAAGGAGUAUAGCUCAGUGGGUGAGUGAGAUAGGGAGUAUAGCUCAGUGGGUGAGUGUGAUAGGGAUUACAGGAGUGAGUGAGAAAGGCCAAGGAGUAUAGCUCAGUGGGUAGAGUGACUGGCUGGCACCCGGGAGGCUGGGGAUCGAUUCCAGGUGUGAGUGAGUGAGAUUGGCAUAGGGAGGAUAGCAGUGAGUGAGAAGGGGAGUAUCGCUCAGUGGGUGAGUGAGAUAGGGAGUAUAGCUCAGUGGGUGAGUGAGAUAGAGAGUAUAGGAGUGAGUGAGAAAGGCCAAGGUGUAUAGCUCAGUGGGACGAGUGACUGGCUGGCACCCGGGAGGCUCGGGAUCGAUUCCAGGUGUGAGUGAGAGAGAUUGGCAUAGGGAGGAUAGCAGUGAGUGAGAUAGAGAGUAUCGCUCAGUGGGUGAGUGAGAUAGGCCAAGGAGUAGAGCUCAGUGGGUUGAGUGACUGACUGGCACCCGGGAGGCUGGGGAUCGAUUCCAGGUGUGAGUGAGAUUGGCAUCGGGAGUAUAGCUCAGUGGGUGAGUGUGAUAGGGAGUAUCGCUCAGUGGGUGAGUGUGAUAGGGAUUAUAUCUCAGAGGGUAGUGACUGGCUGGCACCCGGGAGCCUGGGGAUCGAUUCCAGGUGUGAGUGAGAGAGAUUGGCAUAGGGAGGAUAGCAGUGAGUGAGAUUGGGAGUAUCGCUCAGUGGGUGAGUGAGAUAGGGAGUGUAGCUCAGUGGGUGAGUGAGAAAGGGAGUAUAGCUCAGUGGGUGAGUGAGAUAGGGAGUAUACGAGUGAGUGAGAAACGCCAAGGAGUAUAGCUCAGUGGGUGAGUGUGAUAGGGAGUAUAUGAGUGAGUGAGAAAGGCCAAGGAGUAUAUCUCAGUGGGUAGAGUGACUGGCUGGCACCCGGGAGGCUGGGGAUCGAUUCCAGGUGUGAGUGAGUGAGAUUGGCAUAGGGAGGAUAGCAGUGAGUGAGAUAGGGAGUAUAGCUCAGUGGGUGAGUGAGAUAGGGAGUAUAGCUCAGUGGGUGAGUGUGAUAGGGAGUAUAGGAGUGAGUGAGAAAGGCCAAGGAGUAUAGCUCAGUGGGUAGAGUGAGAUAGGCAAAGGGAGUAUAGUCGUGAGUGAGAUAGGCAUAGGGAGUAUAGCUCAGUGGGUAGAGUGACUGGCUGGCACCCGGGAGGCUGGGGAUUGAUUCCAGGUGUGAGUGAAAUUGGCAUAUGGAGGAUAGCAGUGAGUGAGAUAGGGAGUAUAGCUCAGUGGGUGAGUGUGAUAGGGAGUGUAGGAGUGAGUGAGAAAGGCCAAGGAGUAUAGCUCAGUGGGUAGAGUGACUGGCUGGCACCCGGGAGGCUGGGGAUCGAUUCCAGGUGUGAGUGAGUGAGAUUGGCAUAGGGAGGAUAGCAGUGAGUGAGUGAGUGAGAUAGGGAGUAUAGCUCACUGGGUGAGUGAGAUAGGCAUAGGGAUAAUAGGAGUGAGUGAGAUAGGCAUAGGGAGUAUAGGAGUGAGUUAGUGAGAUAGGCAUAGGGAGUAUAGCUCAGUGGAUGAGUGAGAAAGUAAUAGGGAGUAUAGCUCAGUGGGAAGAGUGGCUGGCUGGCACCCGGGAGGCCGGGGUUCGAUUCCAGGUGUGAGUGAGUGAGAUGGAGUAUAGGAGUGAGUGAGAUAGGCAUAGGGAGUAUCGGAGUGAGUGAGUGAGUGAGUGAGUGAGAUAGGCAUGGGGAGGAUAGCAGUGAGUGAGUGAGAUAGGCAUAGGGAUAAUAGGAGUGAGUGAGAUAGGCAUAGGGAGUAUAGGAGUGAGAUAGGCAUAGGGAGUAUGUGAGAUAGGCAUUGGGAGUAUAGCUCAGUGGGUGGUUGAGAUAGGCAUUUUCUCUCAUCAAGAUAAUGUCACCUUCCUGCAAGUUAAACCUUUUGUCUUGCCACUUGGCUUGACCUUGCAGGGUGUUCAGAUACUCACGUUGCCACUUGUGCCAAAAUUUCUCUGCGAGGUGUUGUCCCAGCUUCCACUGGUGACGGAUGAUCUCUGGCUGACCAAAGUCAGGUGGAGGCGAUGACUGAGUUCCUGUCUUUUGUGUCAGGAGCAUGGAGGGGGUAAGUAUGAGGGGGUUCUCAGGGUCAGUUGACACAGGCAGCAGGGGUCUCGCAUUCACGAUUGCACAGACCUCUGCCAUGAGAGUGACGAAGACCUCGUGUGUCAGUGAAGUGAAGUGCUGCUGCAGAAACAUGGAGUCUAGGAUGCAUUAAUGCAUUAAUGCAUUAAUGAAACUGGAUGUAGUCAGUGUCUCUAUCACUUCAAUGUGCACAGCACGCACACACAGACAGGUAAACAUAACUGCCCACCUUUUGCUGUUUGCCUGCCCACCUCUUGUCCGACGGCUGAUGACCUCCCACGGGCCAAACACGUCCAGGCCGAAGUACGUGAAAGGUGGGGCAGCUUGCAGCCGGUCUGCAGGCAGAUCUGCCAUCAGCUGAUGUUCUCUUUUGCCACGCAGCCUCCUGCAGGUGACACACCGGAACAGUGUGCCUCUGAUGCACCUCUUUCCACCCACCAGCCACAGUCCAGCAUCCCUGAUGGCUCCCUCCGUAAAGUGUCUGCCCUGGUGUUGAACCUGCUCAUGGUGGUGGCGCACAAGGAGAGUCGUCAGGUGGUGCUGAGCUGGGAUGAUGAGGGGAUUGGUGCGGUUUAUUUCAAGGCCAGACUGUGUGAUCCGUCCACCCACUCUGAGAAGUCCACAGCUGUCAAUCACUGGGCGUAGCUUUGCUAUGUUGCUCUGUGUAGGAAUGUCUGUCUCACUCUGAAUGUUGUUGAAUUCACGAGGAUAUCUUUCUUGUUGCGUGUUUUUGAUCAGCAGUUUCUUUGCUUUUUCUAGGUUCUCUGGCGUGAUUGCUUUCUUACAGGUAUGCCACCCUCUGCAUGUGCUGUCUUUGUCUGUUUGCCUGAAACACUGUGCCAUGUGAAUCAAGACUGCAAGUGGUCUAAGCACAGAUGCCCACUUUGAGAAACGCUCGAAGCGCUCCGUGCCUAAGCUGGACUGUGUGGUUUCAGUGACUAACACUGUGGCUUGAGGUCUGAUUUCAGAGUCUGACUCUGGGUCAACUCGGUCAUACAGUGACUGGUGAUCAGCUGGAGGCUUACCAGACAGGAAGGCAGGUCCGGUCAGCCAGUUGAUGUCUCUCAGUGAUGCAGCGGUGACAGAUCUGGAGCCGUGGUCUGCUGGGUUGAGCUCUGAGGGGACGUACAGCCACUGUUGAGGUGAAGUUGUUUGUCGGAUGCGUUGGACCCUAUUGCUUACAUACACAUAGAAUCUUCUCUGUUCGUUGUUGAUGUAACCUAACAUAACUUUGCUGUCUGAAUAGAAAGUGACAGAGUUCAUGUGCAAGUCCAUGCUACUCACUACACUCUCAGCUAUCUCGACAGCAAGGACGGCUGUACACAGUUCGAGUCUGGGGAUUGUGGUUUCUUUCACCGGUGUCAGCUUUGCUUUGCCAAGCACAAAUCCGACUUCGGAGUGUCCAUCUUCAUCGGUCACCUUCAGAUAGGCAACCGCUGCAAUUGCUUUGGUUGACGCAUCCGCAAACACACACAACUCUCUUGAGCUUGCUGCAUAGGUGGAGAGAGAUGUGUAGCAGCGGGGGAUCCGUAGGUCUUGAAGGCAUUGUAGGGAGGACUUCCAUCUCAACCACUCUGCAUGGAGGUGUUCAGGUAAUGGAGAGUCCCACUCACCAUUUUCCAUGGUCAGCGCUCUCAGCAGCGAUCGUCCCUGUAUGGUGACAGGUGAGAGAAAGCCAAGUGGGUCGAAGAUGCUGUUUAUGGUUGAGAGCACGCCUCUGCGUGUGAAGGGCUUGUCGUCUCUCUGCACUUGAAAGGUGAAGGUGUCUGUGACUAUGUUCCAGCUGAUACCUAGGCUACGCUGUAUGGGAACGUCGUCGGUGGUGAAGUCCAGGUCUUUGAUGCUGCUUGCACGGUCCUCAGGGGGGAAUUCAGCCAUGACAGCUGCACUGUUUGAUGUGAUCUUGUGCAGCCGGAGAUGGUUGUGGGAGAGCAUCUCCUUUGCUCGCUUCACCACGCUGAUGGCUUCUGACUCUGUUGCAAACGACUUAAGGGCAUUGUCAACAUAAAAGUCUUUCUCAAUGAAUGCUCUGACAUCAGAGCCGAAUUCAGAUUCUGCUUCUCUUGCUGCUCUCCUGAGGCAGUAGAUUGCUACAGCAGGAGAUGGUGUAUUGCCAAACACAUGCACACGCAUUCUGUAGUCUAUGAUGUCACUGUCCCAGUUGUUGUCGCGGAACCACAGGAACCUCAGGUAGUCUCUGUGCUCCUCCUUGACUACAAAGCAGUAAAACAUGUGUUGAAUGUCUGCAGUCACAGCGAUUUUAUCUUUUCUGAACCUAAUGAGGACACCUAACAGGUCAUUGUUCAGAUCUGGGCCUUUUAAUAAGACAUUGUUCAGUGAAAUCCCUUCAUACUGAACACUUGAGUCAAACACGAUGCAAAUCUGUUCUGGUUUCUUGGGGUGGUAGAUGCCAAAGGAUGGCAAAUACCAGCUUUCUUGUCCCUCUUGGAGGGCUGGGGCAAUCUCUGCAUGCUGAUUGUCAAUCAUCUUUUGCAUGAACUGCAUAUAAUGUUCUUUCAUGGUAGGUUUUUUCUCUAAUGUACGACAGACUGACUUGAGUCUUUUCAUGACAUAGUCUCUGUUGUUUGGCAGCUGUUCUCUCAGAGCCUUAAAAGGCAAGGGUGCGACCCAGCUUUGAGUGCUGUCUUGACAUACCUCAGUAUCCAUGAUCUUCAGGAAGUUGAGGUCAUCGAUGGACGGAGCAGGUUGGUGGUCUUUGUCGGUGCAGUGGAAGACGGAGGGCUCCAGGUCGUCCCUGUGCAGCAGAGGAGCAGUGUGGACAGCGGCUUGCUGAGGCAGGGGAACACAAAGGACUGAGUGGCUGUGUGGAGGGUCUUUCACACGCAGGUGGCUGGAGCAGGGUGUGAGGUAGCUGGGGCGGCCAUCUCCCAAGAUACAUGUUUUUAGGGCAGUGACUGAAGAGGGACGGUGCGCUGUGCCGAGGCACACGUCACCAAUCACCACCCAGCCUAAGUCUAGCUUUUGAGCGAAUGGGGCAUUGUCGGGGAAGUUGAUCUGUUUUCUGAUCUUGUGUAUGCUCAAAACAUCUCUCCCUAGCAACAGCAGUAUCUGGGCACUGGAGUCUAAGGGGAGAAUCUCAUUGGCUAUGCAUCUCAGGUGAGGGUGAUGCAAAGCUGCACUGGGUGUUGGGAUUUCAGACCUAUUGUCUUGUGCACUUGGAGGAGACUGUCUCUGGAGGUCACUGGUUCUUACUGCCCUCCCUGCCGUUCUCUGACGCAGGUGGGGGUGGCUUUGCUUUCCAUGGCGACGGACCUGGGUGGAGGGCUUCGACGUGCUGGUUGCUCUGACAUUCGGCACAUGUUAUGGUUUUGUCGCAGUUCUUUGCAAUGUGUGUGGUGGAAGCACAACAGCGGUAGCAGAUGGACUUUUCUUUGAGGUAUUGCUUACGGUCAGCUAGCAGUUUGUCUCUAAAGCUCCUACAUGCUCCUAAAGAGUGGGGCUUUUUGUGGAUCGGGCAUUGCUUGGUGAGGUCUAAAGUGUCAGCUUCAAGCUCACCUUUCUGGCUGGACUCGGCAACUUGAGUCUUGUGGACUGCAACGGGCUGGUUGACUUUACUCUGGAGACUUCUGGGCUUGUCUCUGGUUGUGGCAGGCGAAGGUGGCAUGUUGACUGUGAAGCUAGGGUCGUUUCUUGCUUUGGCUUGGUUCUGAAUGAAGCUGACAAACACACUGAACGGGGGGAAGGACACCUGUUGUUGUUGUUUUAUCUGAGAGCCGUAGGAUAUCCACUUCUCCUGUAGAUUGUAUGGAAGCUUUUCGACGAUCGGGGCUAUUCCUCUAGCAGUGUCCAAGUAAGCUAGUCCUGGAAGAAAUCCAUCCUGCUUUGCUGCAUGCAGUUCUUGUAGCAGGUCGGCUAAGUCACGUAGGUUGGUUGGAUCUUUGUUGGAGAUCUUCGGGAAGCUUUCCAGUCUGGCGAACAGCGCCCCCUCGAUUGCUUCGGGGGUGCCAUAACAGUCUUCGAUGCGCUGCCAGAUGGCUUGGAGGGCACCUUGGGGGUCUCUGAUGUAGGCUGCCCUGAGCCUGCGUGCUUGCUCGGACGACUCUUUGCCGAGCCAUUUGAUCAGGAGGUCAGUCUCCUCUGCUACUGACAGGCCUAUGUUGUCUAUGGCAUUGCAGAAUGAUGCUUUCCACGUCCAGUAAUUCUCUACUUUGUCAUCGAACUUUGUCAGCCCUGUAGAGACGAUCUGGUUUCUAGCAAUGAACUUGGCCAGGUCCACCGUCGGGGAGUUGUGUCCAUCUUGGACAGGCAUGUGAUGACGUAAGGUAGGGUAUGGAGCAGGAGUGGGCGGCCCAUAGUCUUCUCCUCCCUGCCAUGCUUGGUUGCUGGCUUGGAGUGGCAUGUGGUACGCACUUGCAGGUGGCACGGGUGGCUGUAGAGCUGGCUGUUGUAGCUGUAGAACUGGCUGUAGAGCUGGUUGUAGUGCUGGCUGUAGAGACUGUAGUGCUGGCUGUAGAGAUGACUGUUGUGGCUGCAGUGCUGGCUGUUGUAGCUGUAGAGCUGGCUGUUGUAGCUGUAGAGCUGGCUGUUGUAGCUGUAGAGCUGGCUGUAGAGCUGGUUGUAGUGCUAGCUGUAGAGACUGUAGUGCUGGCUGUAGAGAUGACUGUUGUGGCUGCAGUGCUGGCUGUUGUAGCUGUAGAGCUGGCUGUUGUAGCUGUAGAACUGGCUGUUGUAGCUGUAGAGCUGGCUGUUGUAGCUGUAGAGCUGGCUGUAGAGACUGUAGUGCUGGCUGUGGUACUAUCUGUGCUGACGGUAGGAGUCGUCUCGGAGCUGGUGUCGGUCUCAGGGGCUGUCCUGACGAUGUCGCUGGAUGCAGAGCGGACGGUGUCACUGGAUGCAGGGCGGACGAUGUCGCUGGAUGCUGCACUGGAGGUCGUACGGCUGGCUGAGUUGGAGGAUGUGCUGGUGUGAGCUGGCGGCUUUGGUUCAGUUCUGACCCUGGUUCCCCGAGGCUGUCGUCAUCUUCCAAUUCUGCUUGAAGAACUGCUGCUUCAGCUAUUGCAGCCUCCAUUUCUUUUCUGCACCGCAACACCUCCAAUUCAGCUUCUGCUUUGGCAGCUUGUAGUUCUGAUUCAGCUUUCUGAAGUUUCAGUGCCAUUUCCCUUUCAGAAAAGGCUGCUUUGGCUCUUGCUGCUUGGGCUUUGGCUUUAGCGGUUGCUAGCACGGUGCUCUUCCGAGAGCUGUAUGAUGAUCCGUGUUGAGACAUUGAACAGACCGAGCCUGAUGCCGAUAGCACUGAUCUUAUCUCCCAGUCACCGGCGUCUGCUUCGGUCUUGCCAGGAGAAUUGUAAUGUGGCAUUUUGGUUGGGGAAUCCAUGGCAUAUGGAGCAGGGGGAACGUCUGGGCAGCUCACGUGACGGCUUGGGAAGCGCGGGCUAAUGGCAUUGUCUUGACGGGCAAAACUGACUUUCAUGCUAGCCGUUGAAGUUCUGUCUUCUUCUUGACAGGCGAGGGUCUGCCGUUUUACUGUACUGGCCUCACUAAACGUUUGCGUGUUCAGCUAUCCAGUGCGUGUAAACAGCUGGCGAGGAGAACAACAAAAAGGAGGAAUGCCGACCCAUCUUCAUUUUCUCCUCUCCUUUUAUUCCACACACGUUGUGUAAAACAUAAAGCUGUAAAACUAGACAGAAAUAAAAACACAUUUUAGCUAAUGUCUGUCUGAAUCAUAUUCGAAUCCAUAUUCAACAAAGACAUUGUUUUACUUUUGAGCAGAUUGACCGCGGGAAGCUAAGACGCUUGCUAACAAACGGUACAUCAGUUUUCUUCCAUAAAUCUCUCAUUCACUUUAGAAAAUAGUCAUCAAAAACACAUGACAAUAAAACUCACCAGCAUUGCCCCCGUGGGGGAAUCACAACUGAUUCGGGUUUGAAGAAGAAUUAAUGGAUUUCACAUUUGACCACGAAGAACAGCUUGUGCUAACUGAAGGCUCGUGUUGACUAGCAACUGAAAUCUCGUUCCAACGAGAACAGGAAACAGAAAUUAUACACAAAGGCUGCUAUUGCCAACGGUGGCCAAUAGAUGGUGUUAGCGCUUUGUAAAUAACCAAGGAACACUAUGUAGAAACACAAAAAUUAAUGAAUGAAUGGUCUGUAAGACCAACACAGAGUGAGAUAUGCUUAGGGUGGCGUAGCUCAGUGGGUAGAGUGGCUGUCUCACACCCAGGAGGCUGGGGUUCGAUUCCAGGUGUGAGUGAGUGAGUUAUGCAUUGGGUGGCGUACCUCAGUGGGUAGAGUGGCUGUCUCACACCCAGGAGGCUGGAGUUUGAUUCCAAGUGGCCAAUACUGCUUACAAUAAAACAAAUCUGGUUCAGAUAUCUUACCAACUGCCUUUGUAAAGAGACUUUAUGGACACCCUGUAUGUAUGUAUAUAAAUAUAAAAUCCCCUUUCUCACCCCCACUUUGGCGAUGUGGUAUUUUUCCCUUCAUGCUCGGGUUCUCUACGAGACGUCUGGGAGUUUGAGGGUUCUGUGCUGUACAUUAGCUGUUCCUAGGACUUUGGUCUUCUUGGCAGAGACCUCAGAUGUUGUUCCUGGAAUCUGCUGGAGCCACUCCUCCAGUUUGCAGCUCACUGCUCCCUGAGCUCCAAUCACCACUGGCACCAGGUCUGUAUGUGGGCCACAAACUGCACAUUUUAUAUUGUUUGUAGGAUCCACAACCUUGAAGCAAUGGCAGCCAACUGAUGUCUCCUGGUUACAGGACUGAGUCUUUCUGUGUCAGAUGCCGCAUUAUCAAAACCCAUAUAUUUGAAUGUUUAAGGAUCCAAUUUUUGUAAGCCCUACAAUAUUUCCCAUUAAACUGUUGUUUUUUUGUUGUUCUUUUAACCUGUUAUGCACACCAUGUUCUCUGAUGCCAUUGCAAUCUGUUUGUCUGCUGACAGAAAAUCUUUACAAACCUCUUAGUCUGUCUUAAUAUAUGUAGUCUGUCUGAGCAGUCGGUGAAUUUAGAAAAGAUAAAUGUAGGUAGGAUCAUUUGACAUACAACAGAAUUAGGCUGUUCCAUAGGGCCCAUUUUUAACAGAUAUACAGUACAAGCAAUUCAAACUCUUGAGGAAAAAAAACACCUCUUUGUUCAGAUUCAUGAUCAUACCACUUUAUCUCCAGAUGCACCAUCUGCUGCAAUACAGACUCUAACUGUAAAAUAAAAAUGAAAUAUGUUCAAAUGUCCGUUGACUAACAGUGUAAAUACGCAGGAGAUAUUAAAGCACCAUCUCUACAGUAUUAUGCUGAUAAUUACAACAUAUGCAGCGCACUAAUCUGCUUUCAGUAAGUUCUGUCAUUCUGAUGACUGAUGUGGCCAUAAAUUUCAAACAACUUAGAUUGUCUGCUCGGAUCUCUCAUGGUUUUGAGCUACGUUUGAACUCACAUGGUUUAUGCUCUGUUUUAGCCACAUUCACAACUAGAAAAUUUUAGCUUUUAGAUGAAGUGCCAUACAUACAUUUUGGGCUUGAGGUUUGUUCCUUCUCCGUAUUCACAUUUUGGGAAUGCCAAAUAGGUGAAAAUUCAAUCAAAAAGGGGUGGAUGUUUAGUAAAAGUCGUAAAACCACAAAAAUAUCGCCUCCAGCAUUACUUACAGAGGCACAUGAACCCACAACAAUUCUCAACUUGUCAUUUUAAAUGACUCUGUUUUACAUAAACAAGAUUAAACAUUUAAAUUAUUAACUUAAUUGCGUAAUAGCAUUAAUUUCCUGUUCCCUCUUGCUAGUCCUGUUGCAUUUUACAAACUGCGCAACAAAUUUACUGGCUUCAGCGGUUCAAAGACUUCUGUUGCUUUGCCACAUUCCACAGCAGAGACACAUGAAUGACUGAACAGGGGGGGAAAACAAGCAUGAAGAAACAGAGAGAAAGAAAAACACCUUACAACACACGUGCUAUGUCAGGCAUGGUUACCGUACAAACCAGGGCUCCAUGAACCACCCUGACAUGACUGGGGAGGAUAUCAUGUCUCUCUGGGUGGAAAGAGGGUCAUCUAAUGUUCCAUUUGUCAAUGUUUUUGUUAUUUCUUUGAGUUUUCAAUUUUUUUUUUUCUGACAAAUACUGUCUUCUUCCCAGGCUGCCCGCAGAAGUCUGGCUCUACUUAGCUCAGCGUGCAGCAGGGAGCCACGCUCCUCCCCUCAGCCACCCACUGUGGAGAUAUCUGAGUUUACUGAUGAUGUGCCAGCAACACUGCACAAAAUAUGACUGUGAUUACUGUGUGGAGCAGAGGUUACAUAAGGCUUUAAGCCAGUCAUUAGGAAAGAUGUUUUUAACAUUUUCUCAAAUCUGUAUUUGGCUCUUGUCGAGCUGUUAGUAAAUGUUGUUGGUAUUUGUGGUGUCAUUUUGUUGUGAGAGAUUAUGUCUAAUUCAACUUCCAUGGUACAGUAAAGCCCGCAGUUGAUUCCAAAUUCAAUACUACAUUAUAUAGAAUCAAUACAGCUUGAAAUUGCAUGAGACAUACAGUGCCUUGUGAAAGUAUUCGGCCCCCUUGAACUUUUCAACCUUUCGCCACAUUUCAGGCUUCAAACAUAAAGAUAUAAAAUUUUAAUUUUUUGUCAAGAAUCAACAACAAGUGGGACACAAUUGUGAAGUGGAAUGAAAUUUAUUGGAUAUUUUAUACUUUUUUAACAAAUAAAAAACUGAAAAGUGGGGUGUGCAAUAUUAUUCGGCCCCUUUACUUUCAGUGCAGCAAACUCACUCCAGAAGUUCAGUGAGGAUCUCUGAAUGAUCCAAUGUUGUCCUAAAUGACUGAUGAUGAUAAAUAGAAUCCACCUGUGUGUAUUCAAGUCUCCGUAUAAAUGCACCUGCUCUGUGAUAGUCUCAGGGUUCUGUUUAAAGUGCAGAGAGCAUCAUGAAGACCAAGGAAUACACCAGGCAGGUCUGAGAUACUGUUGUGGAGAAGUUUAAAGCCGGAUUUGGAUACAAAAAGAUUUCCCAAGCUUUAAACAUCUCAAGGAGCACUGUGCAAGCAAUCAUAUUGAAAUGGAAGGAGUAUCAGACCACUGCAAAUCUACCAAGACCCGGCCGUCCCUCUAAACUUUCACCUCGAACAAGGAGAAGACUGAUCAGAGAUGCAGCCAAGAGGCCCAUGAUCACUCUGGAUGAACUGCAGAGAUCUACAGCUGAGGUGGGAGAGUCUGUCCAUAGGACAACAAUCAGCCGUACACUGCACAAAUCUGGCCUUUAUGGAAGAGUGGCAAGAAGAAAGCCAUUUCUCAAAGAUAUCCAUAAAAAGUCUCGUUUGAAGUUUGCCACAAGCCACCUGGGAGACGCACCAAACAUGUGGAAGAAGGUGCUCUGGUCAGAUGAAACCAAAAUCGAACUUUUUGGCCACAAUGCAAAAGGAUGUGUUUGGCGUAAAAGCAACACAGCUCAUCACCCUGAACACACCAUCCCCACUGUCAAACAUGGUGGUGGCAGCCUCAUGGUUUGGGCCUGCUUUUCUUCAGCAGGGACAGGGAAGAUGGUUAAAAUUGAUGGGAAGAUGAAUGGAGCCAAAUACAGGACCAUUCUGGAAGAAAACCUGUUGGAGUCUGCAAAAGACCUGAGACUGGGACGGAGAUUUAUCUUCCAACAGGACAAUGAUCCAAAACAUAAAGCCAAAUCUACAAUGGAAUGGUUCACAAAUAAACGUAUCCAGGUGUUAGAAUGGCCAAGUCAAAGUCCAGACCUGAAUCCAAUCGAGAAUCUGUGGGCAGAGCUGAAGACUGCUGUUCACAAAUGCUCUUCAUCCAACCUCACUGAGCUCGAGUUGUUUUGCAAGGAAGAAUGGGCAAGAAUUUCAGUCUCUCAAUGUGCAAAACUGAUAGAGACAUACCCCAAGCGACUUGUAGCUGUCAUUGCAGCAAAAGGUGGCGCUACAAAGUAUUAAUGCAAGGGGGCCGAAUAAUAUUGCACGCCCCACUUUUCAGGUUUUUAUUUGUUAAAAAAGUUUAAAGUAUCCAAUAAAUUUCGUUCCACUUCACGAUUGUGUCCCACUUGUUGUUGAUUCUUGACAAAAAAUUAAAAUUUUAUAUCUUUAUGUUUGAAGCCUGAAAUGUGGCGAAAGGUUGAAAAGUUCAAGGGGGCCGAAUACUUUCACAAGGCACUGUAUAUCUUUUUUGUCUCAGAGUUUUGCCUAAAUUAUAAAAAAAAUCUGCCUCAUAUUUUGAGUUGUCUUCUAAGACUGCUGCAUGUUAACGAUAGGACAUGCUUGUUUAUGUUUUUUAAACUCUGAUUCCAUUUGCAUCAGUGUCACUUUAGAUAAUAGACUUGCAGAUUUCAUAAUCAGCAAGAGUGAUGCUUUUUUUGUGCUCACAUCAGGUUCACUGGGGCCGUCAAGCAUCGCUGCUGUUCCAAUUUGAAGCAAGGACGAGGAAACAAAAAUUAUCUGGAUGGAACUAUGGGAAACGUUAAUCUGGUUCCACUGAGUGUUGAACUCAUAAUGUAGUUCGCUGAAAUUACACAAAAGCAUAUUACAAUAGUUUAACACGUGUCCUUUUUCAAAUCAAUAUUGUUCCGCGACGAUGAUAAAAUCAUCCCUUCCUGACAUCAGUUUAAUAUCUUUAUGGUUUGCUAUGAAACAGCAUAGAUGAAAAGAUUUCUCAGGGAUAUACAAGUACAUGAAUAUCCAAAUUUAUAUUAGAGCGUGCUGUCAUGAAGGGAAAACAGUAAAAAAGCAGAUGUUAGAGAAGACAAAAAACUGAUAAAUCCUUUUCAAAUAGUUUGACAAAACACAGAGGAGAGUGAUCUAGUGCUAAUUAAAUGGUGCAAACGACCCACAGUGAUUAGCUACAGAACCAGGAGACCCACAGUCUGUGUCGCCAUCUGUUGGUGAUGAGCAUACACAGCAGGAAAAACUCCCCAGCUUAAAACCCUCAAGCGGAGAAGCAGUAGUUUAUGUAGACUUAUAUUUUACAAAACGUGAGCAGUGUUGAGGGAAUCGAAUCCAGGAGGAUUGGAUUAAAAUGGCUCUUGAAACCAUAAUGUGUUGGAUUUAUGUGGGAGAAAUUACUGUAGGAAACAUUUGAAGACGCAUUGAUGAAUCAUUGUUAGAGCACUCGUGUUUAUUGCAGGGCUUGGUUUGCAUAAUUGUUUAUGGGUGUUAACUCUUAUAACCAAAAUCUACCUAAAACAGUGAAACCAGACAGCAAAUUAACUUUCUUGUUAAUAUCAGUUUGAUUUACGGUGUUGACAUGAAAACAGUCUGAAGAAUAUAGGUUCUGUGUGCAGUUCAACAAAAGGAAUGACAAAAUAGUCUUAUAACAGCAGUAGCAGUAAUAUAGUAGAUUUAUACAAAGGCAUCACAGCUAAAGAAAUGGUGACAUAUUUGUCUUCCUAAGCAGUGUUAGAUUAGACCAACUCAGAGCUGACGUUCAAUAUCAAUCUAUCUAUCUAUCAAUCAAUCAAUCAAUCAAUCAAUCAAUCAAUCAAUCAAUCUAUCUAUCUAUCUAUCUAUCUAUCUAUCUAUCUAUCUAUCUAUCUAUCUAUCUAUCUAUCUAUCUAUCAAUCAAUCAAUCAAUCAAUCAAUCAAUCAAUCAAUCAAUCAAUCUAUCUAUCUAUCUAUCUAUCUAUCUAUCUAUCUAUCUAUCUAUCUAUCUAUCUAUCUAUCUAUCUAUCUAUCUAUCUAUCUAUCUAUCAAGACGUAUUUAUAGAGCACUUUACAAUGCUCAAAGGUGACCAAAGUGCUUUCCAGUUAAAAUCAAACAGUAAAAUUAGAAUAAAAGCAAAUUAAAAGAAAGGAACAAUAGAACACAUGUCAACAAAUAAAAUAAAAUCAAAUAAGAUAAAAUAAAAUAGAAUAUCACCACAUUACUGAGUAGUAAAAGCCAGUCUAAAAAGAUAUGCUUUGAGCCGGGCUUUGAAAAGGCCAAAGUCGGAUGGUGCGCCUGUCAGGGGGCAGCUUGUUCCAAAGAAACUGAAAAAGUCAGAGAUAUAAGCAAAAUCUCUGACCAUGCUUUUAAUGUUAAUAUUACUAGUUCAUCACAGUGAUGAAAACUACCACCUUGAUGUUGCAUGCAGCACAGCUGGUAGAAUAAAGAAUGAAAGAUUUAGUUCAGUCCUGGUCUGCUUUUUAUAUUCAUUUACAUUCAUUUUCUCUAAAUACUUGCAGAUGAAUGCCUACUCUGUCCUCCCUGUUUCAGGCAGAGUCUUCUGAGUUCAGAGUAAACUCAGGAGAUGCCACUGCCAGUCACUGAUCCCUCAGACAAGCUACAGUACGUCAUCAUGAGAUGAGAGGAUUGACUGCUAAAAAGGAUUACACCAUUUGAAAAUUUUCCUGUCCAAAACUGCUUAACCACUUUGACUGGAGAAAGGAUACAUUCGUGAUGAAGCCAGAUCAAUUCAGAAUAUUUCUGGGGGCUGAUUAUGUUCUUGCGGGAUUGAUGUUGCUGAAUCGUGGACAGACAAAAGAUUAUUUGAGGUCAGAGAUGCAUCACAGCGGCAUAGUGUGGUAAAGCCAAUAUUAUCGUUCUGUAUUUAUGAAAUUAUCAAAAUGCCCUAAUAAAAGCAAACAAGUAAAAUUAGAUCUAAUAUGUAUCAAGUGGGGGCAGCACAGCUCAGUGGGUAGAGUGGCUGUUUUGCAACCACAGGGUUGUCGGUUCAAUCCUUGGCCCGGAGAGCUCAUGUCUCAGUGUCCCUGAGCAAGACACCAAACCCCUAACUGCCCCUGAUGGGUCGUGGUUAGCGCCUUGCAUGGCAGCUUCUGCCAUCAGUGUGUGAAUGGGUGAAUGUGACGUGUAAUGUAAAGUGCUUUGGGUAUCUUUCAGGUAUAGUAAAGUGCUAUAUAAAUACAGACCAUUUACCAUCAUCACAUGUACACAUUUACUAGUCAGAAUUAAAGAAGAAACAAUGAUGUUGGGACGUCUUCUACUGUAUGACACUGACUUGAUUACUGUGUGGUACAUGAUUUUAGUCAGUUAUUCAUAUUGUUAACAAGCUAAGUGACAUACAGAGCCUAUAAAAAUUAUCCCCUAACAAAUUCUCAAUUGGAUUGAGGUCUGGACUCUGACUCGACCACUUCAAAGCAUUCACCUUGUUGUCUUGAAACCAUUUCUGUACAGCUUUGGCUGUUUGCUUCAGGUCAUUGUCUUGCUGGAAAACAAAUCCUCUCAAGUUGCAGUGCUCUUGCAGACUGCAUCAGGUUGUCCUCCAGGAUUUUCCUUUAUUUUGCUGCAAUAAUUUUACCUUCUAUCUUCACAAGCCCUCAAGAACCUGCUCCUGAGAAGCAUCAUGAUGCUGGUUCUUCUGGUUGACUUCUGAAUAUUAGAGUCACUUAAAAAGGGAAGAACACUUAUGCAACCACUUAUUUAAUGUUCGUUGUUUAUUUUAGUUAAUUGACAUUACUUUGUAGCGGACUGUUUUUACCUCAAAAGUCUUCAGGGAAAAUUGUUGUCAUAAAUUGGAAAAUUAAAUUUACUAUAAUUCAAUAUUGAAAAAGAAAUAAACGGAAAAAGCUUCUAAUUGGGGUGAAAACUUUUUACAGACACUGCAUGUUUUCAGUUUAUCAUUCCACACAUAAAGUGCACGCAUUAAAAAAUGUGUCUUCUAUUUUAUUCUAUGUCUUUCCUGUUGUUUUUUAUCCAUCCAGCCAUUUUCUAUACACCGUUUAAUCCUCAUUAGGGUCAUGGGCUUAGGGUGAAGGCAGGGGACGCUUGGACAGGUCACCAGUCUAUCACAGAGCUACGCAUAAAGACAAUCAGUCACACUCACAUUCACACCUGUGGACAAUUUAGAAUCACCAAUUAACCUCAGCAUGUUUCUGGGGUGGGGAGGAAGCCAGAGAGCCCAGAGAAAAGCCACACAAGCACAGGGAGAACAUGCAAACUCCAUGCAGAAAGGGAUCUUCUAGCUGCAAGGCAACAGUGCUAACCACUAAGCACUGUGCAGCCCUGGUUUAGUCUUUCACCAUUAAAAUAACUGAAAUGCCAGCAAAUAAAAAUGAACAAUCAGUACCAUUUUUAGUGUGUGUUCUAGUACAAAUGAAUGUCCGCCUGUGUCAGGGGAUCUUCUGGCAACGCAACAGUGCUAACCACCGAGACACUGUGUAGACCUUUUGUUAUUUAUAAGUAUUAUACAUCUUCCAUAUGUGAGAUUAUGAGCCAGAAUAAGUAUUUCUACUCAUUACAUGAACUGUAAAAAGACAGAAGACUGAUAUGAAGCCUGCAACUAUAUUUCACGGUUUUCUGUGUAGCAUCUAAAGUGGGAUCAUUUUGACAAUCUGAUGUCUGAGCUCAGUGCCAAAACCAUUUCAAAGAAUGAUCCCUUACAUCAAUUGUAUGUAUUACACCAACUGCAUAGCAUAAUUUCACCCAUCUGGUGAUCUUCAACAAGCAAAUGAACUUGCUCCACAUGUUGCCCAUUAACUGUCUUCUGUCAGCACACUAAACUUGAACUUCUGGUAUGAAAAGUC